AGCCGCAUCUCACGGAGGGCCGCCACGAGCCCGCAGGGGGACGUGGGGCACCCCAGCUCGCUCUGCCAGCGCAGCAGCAUCCUGUGGUGCUGCUCCAACAGGGUCCCCGGGUCCCUGUGCUCACAGAUGACAAGGUCGUUCUCCUCCAGUUCCGGCGAACCUCAUGAACAUCCUCCAGCUAGAUUUGGGAACCUCCUGCCCGAAUUCAAAGUAGAUCCUGUUCGUGGUGAGAACACAGGCUGAGA
Molecule: long non-coding RNA, 245 nt
Organism: Phyllostomus discolor (pale spear-nosed bat)
Lineage: Eukaryota; Metazoa; Chordata; Mammalia; Chiroptera; Phyllostomidae
Exons: 3
Source: RefSeq, a predicted model, not a curated record